CCUACGGGUGGCAGCAGUGAGGAAUAUUGGUCAAUGGACGCAAGUCUGAACCAGCCAUGCCGCGUGCAGGAAGACGGCGCGAUGAGGUGUAAACUGCUUUUGUAAGAGGGUAAACGCAGAUACGCGUAUCUGUCUGAAAGUAUCGUACGAAUAAGGAUCGGCUACCUCCGGGCCAGCAGCCGCGGUAAUACGGAGGAGUCAAGCGUUAUCCGGAUUGAUUGGGUUUAAAGGGUGCGUAGGCGGUCGGAUAAGUUAGAGGUGAAAGCCCGAGGCGCCACUUCGGAAUUGCCUCUGAUACUGUUCGGCUAGAGCGUAGUUGCGGUAGGCGGAAUGUCUGGUGUAGCGG
RNAcentral lists this ribosomal RNA (346 nucleotides) under uncultured bacterium. RNAcentral's name for it is "partial 16S ribosomal RNA". It matches the Rfam family "Bacterial small subunit ribosomal RNA", at positions 338 to 681 of the family's 1533-position model. The record is from RNAcentral.